UAGGGAAUAUUAGAAAUGGACGAAAGUCUGAUCUAGCAACACCGCGUGUGCGAAGAAGGCCUUUGGGUCGUAAAGCACUUUUUGGAAGGAAUAGGAAGGAAUGUACUUCCAGAAUAAGUCUCGGCUAACUACGUGCCAGCAGCCGCGGUAACACGUAGGAGGCAAACGUUAUCCGGAUUUACUGGGCGUAAAGCGCGUAUAGGUGGUACUGUAAGUAGGGCGUGAAAGCUCCUGGCUCAACUGGGAGAGGCCGUUCUAAACUACAGAACUAGAGGAUGGUAGAGGGAGGUGGAAUUCCAGGUGUAGCGGUGGAAUGCGCAGAUAUCUGGAGGAACACCGGUGGCGAGGGCGGCCUCCUGGACCAUUCCUGACACUCAGACGCGAAAGCUAGGGUAGCAAACGG
RNAcentral lists this ribosomal RNA (403 nucleotides) under uncultured bacterium. RNAcentral describes it as "bacterial SSU rRNA". It matches the Rfam family "Bacterial small subunit ribosomal RNA", at positions 355 to 775 of the family's 1533-position model. The record is from RNAcentral.